Molecule: long non-coding RNA, 4015 nt
Organism: Bos taurus (domestic cattle)
Lineage: Eukaryota; Metazoa; Chordata; Mammalia; Artiodactyla; Bovidae
Source: Ensembl
CCACAUCAGCCCAUGUUCUCUGUCCAUGUCUCUUGGAUGGAAAUGAUAAAGGAGGAGAUUGCACAGGAAAUCCAUGAUAAAUUUAGACAUUACCUGCUGUGUCCCCCUGAGAGUCACAUGCUGAAAUCCGAAUGUCCAAGAUGGUGGUGUUGGGAGGUGGGGCCUCUGGGAGGUGAGAGGUCACUGGGCUGGAGACUCAUGAAGGGGUUAGUGCCCUCAUAAAAGAGACCCUACAGCCCUCCUCCCUGCAAGAGUCUGUGACCUGGAAGGAGGCUCUCACUCAACCGAACUUCCGGCCUCUGGGUCUGUGAGAAAGGGACUUCUGUUGUCUAUCAGCUGCUCAGUCUGUGGCAUUUGUGAUAGCAUCCCGAGGGACUCAGACAGUAGCCCGACAAUCACAAGAGUUCACCCAGCCUUCCCAGGUACCCAGUAAGAGAGGUGUGCUGUGAGGACGUCACUUGAGAGAGGUGUUGAGUGCAGCUCAGAGAGGCUGAGUGUCUUGUCUAAGGGCAUACAGCGGGAAGCAGCAGAACCAGGCUCUCGUCCCUAGGAAGAGGCGCAUGGUCAGCAUAGUGGUCCCAGCAGACCCCAAGCUCCUCCCUCUAGCCCCAGAGAUGCAGGUGGACCAGCCAGGACCCCCAAACUGGCUGUUGUGCCCCCCAAGCAGGGCAGGGCUGGGCCCACAGCAAUCUUAGAUAGGAAUCCACCUGCUCACUCCUCUGGGAGUGAGGGACGGUGCAGGACACCCAUCCUGACUGGUCUGGGCUGCUCCUCAGUCUCCGGGCCUCACGGUUUAUCUCCAUGUAGCACAGAUCCUUUAAACACGUCAGCAUUGCUAUGAAAAUCAGGAUCAAUUCUGGCCAAGACCUGACUCACCCAUUGUCCCUGCUCAUUGUCCUUUUAGGAAAUUCUUCCCAAGGGGGCUCCUGUGGGUUUGGGCAGAGGGGCCUCAUGGUGACCCUCAUGCCAUGUGUCCGGUCACCCCUCACCUCCUGGGGAGGCACACUUUCCAGAAGUCAUCAGAACAAGCUGGUCUUUCCUGGAAGGAUCCGGGCUCUCCCAACACUUCCUGGAUUUGCAGGUUCCCGAAUUCACCAGUAUUCUUUCUCAACCUUUAUUUAUUUAUCUCACUUUAUUAUUUUUGGAUUAAUGUAAAUGAAGUCUGUGUUUGGCUUGCUAGAAUGGAUGAAAGGUUUGCUCAGGUCAGAAGCUUCAAAGUGGGUUUUGAUGGAAGAAAACUGAUAAAAAAAUCUCUGCAGUGUUUUUUAACCUUCACCCCGUGUUGGUAUGAGAUGAGGAGGAUGGGGAGGUGAUGAUGGGAAGAGACUUGCUCCCAUCUUCACCCACACGGUGGGGGGAGAGCACCCACGGGCACCUGUCUGGGGCGGGACGUCACUGGGCCCCCACCCCGCUGGCCGGAACCUAGCCGUGGGCUCACACCUGCACACUCUGCACCUUUAGUAAGAACAGGCUCCAGGGUGGUGGGUCUUUGGGAGGGACAAUCAUGCCUAGUUACAGUUAGUAUUAUCAGCUGAGAGGAGAAUGGAUAUUGGUGAGCACUAUUAAUAGCCACUUCUGCCUUCACACCUGCCCGUCAGGCUGGUUUUAAUCUGGAGACCGAGGUUCUAUCUGAGGCGCCCAGAGAAGUCAGCUCCUACCAGGGUCAGCCCUUCAGUGUUCUGCUAAGAUGUGUCUCCUCCUCCCAUCUCUCUGUGCUGUGGGUUGUACCCUCCUAUUGUCUUGGUUUGGAUCCGCAACCCCCUACCCCAGGCAGACCAGGGUCAAGGUUGGGUGCGAGGGGUCUGUUUGAGAGGCGACCUCAGGGGACAUCAGGAAAGGAGAGCGGGAAGAGAAAGGGCCAGUGCCCAGUGCCUUCUUGGCCCUGUGACCGUGGUGGGAGCUCGAGGGGACUGUGGAUCACCCCUUGGAGUUUCUCAGCUGCUCAGCCAGGGCGCCAGGACGUUGCCCACCUACUCUCCCUGGUUGAGAACUGCUCCCAAGGACAGUGGUUCCUGGCAGUUCUGGCCUGCCUGUCUGCGCUCAGGCCAUGCUUGUGCCCCCAGCAGAAAACGCUCCCGCGAGAGGCUGCAGGCGCCAGAGGAAGCCACGGCUGUGUCCAGGAUGAUGCCUGCCAAGGCCGGGCACCAGCAGCGAUGCUACAGCCGUGUCCUGAGCUGACGAACCCCCGGUCUCCACGGAGUCACUCCCCUCACCUCCCCACCAGCUGUGAGCUGCUGACGUGGCAGCUUCGUGGCUUGGACGACUCCACGGAAGCUCUGCUGCUGGGAGCCUGAGGAGCCACUUACAAUUUAGGGGUGACCUCUUUCCUAAGGUUCCCAGGCACUCCUGCGCCCAGCCCUGUCCUUCAGGAAGGCGGCUGUGUAUUAGUUCGCUAUCUGGGGGCUUGGACAGCCGCAAGGUUGUCUCCCGCAGUCAGGAGGCCCCACGUCUGAGACCAAGGUGCGAGUGGGGCUGCUGCACCUGGGCUGGGAGCAGGACCUGCUCGGGGUUCCCUGGCCACCCGGUGCUCCCUGUAGACAUGUCCCCACCAUCUCCGCCCAUGUGCCCUCUGUGCCCACAGCCCCCCCUUUUAUCAGUGGGAGGCCCACCCUCGCCAGUGUGACCUCAUCUUGACUAACACCAUAUUUCCAAAUAAGGGCACAUUCUGAGGUGCUGGGUUUUGGGACUCCCACAUGGGGAUUUGGGGAGGGCAUGGUUCAGCACGCAAAGGGUGGGAGAAGAUGGCAAAGGGGCUGCCACACGGCGUGUGAGAGGAUCUGAUGUAGAUCAGCGGAGCCCCCAGGCAGGUGGAGGUGUGUGCCGAGGUCACCCUCCGGGCAGGGCACAAGCGCUUCUUCUGAGACACUUGAGGGGCUGGGUGUGGGCGCCUUCUCUAUGCCACGGCGACGGCGGGGACAGCCAGGCCAGCCUCCACCACCCUGUCAUUUCUGAGAGUUCAACGGGUUAGGGGAAAAAUGACGUUUUCUCGCCAGCAUCCAAAGGUCAAUGGAAGGUCAUUGGUGGGAUCAGGAGGACACAAGUUGAUGUCAAACAGACCCAGAGAUUUCCACAAGUCCUGGAGAGAAAAGAGCCCGGAGCAAAGCUUAUCUGAAAACCCCUGGGAGCUGUGGAACGCUGCUCAAGCUGCAUAACCUCCCAUUUCCGGAGAGAAUGGCUCGUUUCAUUGGCCCCAGAGCAUGCUGGGUGAUCCUGAACCCUGAAGUCAGGGUGGGGAGUGAGGUCAAAAGGUCAUCUGGUUCACUCCCCUGCCUCUAGGCAGGAUUCUCCCAGCAAAGAGUCGUCGUGUGUGUUCUAGCAAGCAAGGCCGCAAGUGGGGGCUUGGGGAGGAAACAGGCCUGUGAGCACCUGUGAGCAAUGAUGACGUGGUAAUCCCCGCCAGCUGUCCAAGUCUGCGAGCCCCACCAGUGCCUUGAAGUUUGGAGAACUGCACUGGGACCUGUUGGGGGACAUUGGUGGGAAAGAGCGCAGUGUGUCCAGAGAUCAGCCACCACCUCUGGGGCAACAACCACAGAACAUCAAUGACAACAACAGAAGCGAAAAUGUCUUGAGCAGUUGCCAUUCGCAGGGUUAUGUGGAGUGGCUAAAUGCUUGCACGUCAUCUCUUGAAUCAUCAUAUAAGCCUCUAAGCCCACGGGGGGGUCCUGUUGUAAUUGUCCAAAAUGAGGCUCAGAGAUGGAAGGUGCCUGCCCAAGGUCCCCUAGUCUGUAAGAAGCACAGGUAGAGUUUGGCUCAGUUGGAGCGACUUCAGAGCCCAGGACUGAACAGCUGCUCCUCAUGUGAAUGUACCACGUGUGUCCUGUUCCACUGAGCAGGUGCGGGCAGCUGAGGGUGGCCCAGGUUAAUAAAUGGGGUGACUGGGGGGCCACCCACAGCCUUUAGAUCCCAAAUCCUCUAUGGCUCCCCUGGACACCCCCCUUCCCACCACGUGCAGUGCCUUCUUACAAAACCAGUUGCUCUUUUAUGACCCGUGGGGCAGGUGGAGAGGGAGUCACUC